AGGCCCCGGGGCAAAUGGAGGGCGGCGUGCGCUGUGCUUAUCGGCCCCUAACGGGGCCGGAGCCGAGGCUCAUGGUGCAGGGAGAUUCGCCCGCCGCCGCCAGCAGCUCUGUCUUGGCAUUGCGCUGCCUACAGCCUACCCGGCCGUCACCGAACGCGGGAGCGCCGGGGAUCUGGGCGGAGGAGCCAGGAGAGGCGGGGAGGCACGGGGUGUGAAGUGCGGCCUGUAUAGCAACCGGCGCACGGCGCCUUCCGCGGGUUGUGACCUUUGAAGAGAAAUGCCGUAGAAGCAUGGACGUGGCUUUUCACCAAGGUUAUUCACUAAUUUAAGUGUUUUUUUUAAUUUUAUUUUAUUUUAUUUUAUUUUUUGAGACAGGUACUCACUCUGUCUCCCAGGCCGGAGUGCAAUUAUCUGUACAAUUGAUAAUCUAUAAGAUGGUCCAACCUGCGUAACAGAGUGAGAUUCCGUCUCAAAAAAAAAAAAAAAAAAGAAAGAAAAAAGGCCGGGCGCGGUGGCUCACACCUGUAAUCCCAGCCCUUUGGUAAGCGAAGGCGGUUGGAUCACUUGAGGUCAGGAGUUCAAGACCAGCCUGGCCAACGUGAUGAAAUCCCAUCUCUACUAAAAAUACAAAAAUUAACCGGACAUGGUGGUGGGAGCCUGUAAUCCCAGGUACUCGGGAGGCUGAGGCACGAGAAUCGCUUGUACCCGGGAGGCAGAGGUUGCAGUGAGCCGCGAUCGCGCCGCUGCACUCCAGCCCUGGCGACAGAGUGAGACUCUCAAAAAAAAAGAAGAACAAAAAAAGGAUAAAUCGAUAAGAUGGGAUCCACAAUGACGUGAAAGAAGCUAAGGAAAAUCUGGAACAUUAUACAGCAUCUACAAUUAGCUUCAGAGAAAAGAAAGGUUUUAUUACCAUCCUUUGUUAAAACCCUCCCCCAUGGUCUAAAUGAAUAAACAGAAGCCAUUUAAGGGACUAUUUA
Molecule: long non-coding RNA, 977 nt
Filed under: Homo sapiens (human)
Lineage: Eukaryota; Metazoa; Chordata; Mammalia; Primates; Hominidae
Description: HSALNT0393691
Source: RNAcentral